Long non-coding RNA from Sinocyclocheilus anshuiensis, 991 nucleotides. RefSeq lists it as uncharacterized. The transcript is spliced from 3 exons. NCBI's taxonomy places the organism in Eukaryota, Metazoa, Chordata, Actinopteri, Cypriniformes, Cyprinidae. The record is from RefSeq and is a predicted model, not a curated record.
GACGCCGCAACACAGAAACGUGAGAGCACAAUGAGUGUCGUUUACAUCUAGUACUGAGAUCAGUCUGCUGUGAUCCAGUCACAAGCAGUCAGCUGUGUACACCUGUAACAUGAGUCUCAAUGCGUCUCCUUGGUUGACCAGAAAGUUUGACCCUCGGAUGACCUCUGACCUCCUCUGCCAACACAAGCACAAAAAGCAGGAUAUCUAUCUGAAUGAGGACUUCCAGACCAGCUUCACAACGAAACUGGAAAUCCAGCUACAGAAUACCAAAUAUUCCCAUAGGAAUGCUUCCUCCAGCCAACAUUCCUCCAGUUGCCCAACAUAAGUCCGACAAAUUGUGAGAAGAAGAAGAAAGAAAAAAGAAAAAAAGUUGCUGCAUAAUGUGACCAACCCCAUAGGCAAUAAUGAAAGGGCAAUGCCAGCUUGUUUGGGAAUGAACGGUGACCGGAUUUGCUUUUUGAAAUAACCAGCGAAAGAGUUUCUGUGUACUUGGUUUUAGGGAGUUAGCCUUCAAAGGUUUUAGGGGACAGUGUCACAAAACUUAGAUUCCUGAGAGUUGAGUCAGUGCUAUUGGCGGUUCCCUAUAUCGUCAUUGCUAAUAUUGAUCCUAGAGGUCGGCCUUUGACCUCUCCCACCAUUCGCUUUUCCAUAUCCAGUGUUAUCUGAGAACAUCUGCAGCUAAGGUUCACAAGGGUCAGAGUACACAGAAUGUAAACACUGCACAGCGCCAUUAACACAUCACUGUACUCAGCACACAUUCAUGUGAGGUACACUUCUGUUUCUGUUAAAUGGAGUGUGAAUGUUCAUCGUUGUGCUAAUUUCCUGCUGUCAAAACAAAGAAGAUUAAACAUUUGCAAAAAAUAAAUAAUUAAAAAAAUACAUGCGCCACUAUACUUCCAGUCUUCUGCAAAAUAUGAUCAAGCCUGUUUAGUGCCUUCAUGAAAUAUUCAAAUACAAUUUUUUGGAAUAUGUAAAAAUAAAACAAAGUACC